AAUGAACGUUGGCGGCGUGGAUUAGGCAUGCAAGUCGAGCGAGAACCGUAGCAAUACGGGGACAGCGGCGAAAGGGAGAGGAACACGUGGAUACCUACCCUCGGGCUCAGGAUAGCUGUGGGAAACUACAGGUAAUACUGAAUAACAUCUCCGGAUCAAAGGUGUGAUUCCACCUGAGGAGGGGUCCGCGUCCUAUUAGCUUGUUGGCGAGGUAACGGCUCACCAAGGCGAAGAUGGGUAUGGGGUGUGAGAGCAUGCCCCCACUCACUGGGACUGAGACACUGCCCAGACACCUACGGGUGGCUGCAGUCGAGAAUCUUCGGCAAUGGGGGAAACCCUGACCGAGCGACGCCGCGUGCGAGAUGAAGGCCUUCGGGUUGUAAAUCGCUGUCAGAGGGGAGGAAAUGUCGGGGGGUUCUCCCUCCGAUUUGACCUAUCCUCAGAGGAAGGACGGGCUAAGUUCGUGCCAGCAGCCGCGGUAAGACGAACCGUCCAAACGUUAUUCGGAAUCACUGGGCUUAAAGGGUGCGUAGGCGGUCCGGGAAGUUGGGUGUGAAAGCCCUCGGCUCAACCGAGGAAUUGCGUCCAAAACUGCCGGACUUGAGGGAGACAGAGGUGAGCGGAACUUAGGGUGGAGCGGUGAAAUGCGUUGAUAUCCUAAGGAACACCAGUAGCGAAAGCGGCUCACUGGGUCUCUUCUGACGCUGAGUGCACGAAAGCUAGGGGAGCGAAGAGGAUUAGAUACCCUCGUAGUCCUAGCCGUAAACAAUGAGCACUUGUUUGGAGGGUCCUCCAUAGCCUUCCAGACGUAGCGAAAGUGUUAAGUGCUCCGCCUGGGGAGUAUGGUCGCAAGGCUG
Molecule: ribosomal RNA, 857 nt
Filed under: uncultured bacterium
Lineage: Bacteria
Description: bacterial SSU rRNA
Rfam family: Bacterial small subunit ribosomal RNA
Source: RNAcentral